GCGGAAGUAGCUCACCUGGUAGAGCGGCAGCUUCCCAAGCUGCAGGUAGCGGGUUCGAGUCCCGUCUUCCGCU
This 73-nucleotide transfer RNA is filed under the name Niabella pedocola. RNAcentral's name for it is "tRNA-Gly". It matches the Rfam family "tRNA". Rfam says of the family: Transfer RNA (tRNA) molecules are approximately 80 nucleotides in length. Their secondary structure includes four short double-helical elements and three loops (D, anti-codon, and T loops). Further hydrogen bonds mediate the characteristic L-shaped molecular structure. tRNAs have two regions of fundamental functional importance: the anti-codon, which is responsible for specific mRNA codon recognition, and the 3' end, to which the tRNAs corresponding amino acid is attached (by aminoacyl-tRNA synthetases). tRNAs cope with the degeneracy of the genetic code in two manners: having more than one tRNA (with a specific anti-codon) for a particular amino acid; and 'wobble' base-pairing, i.e. permitting non-standard base-pairing at the 3rd anti-codon position. RNAcentral also lists the same sequence under 5 other names. The record is from RNAcentral. Lineage: Bacteria; Pseudomonadati; Bacteroidota; Chitinophagia; Chitinophagales; Chitinophagaceae.